RNAcentral lists this ribosomal RNA (1036 nucleotides) under Advenella sp. 741B5_12AEMB. RNAcentral's name for it is "bacterial SSU rRNA". It matches the Rfam family "Bacterial small subunit ribosomal RNA", at positions 53 to 1073 of the family's 1533-position model. The record is from RNAcentral. Lineage: Bacteria; Pseudomonadati; Pseudomonadota; Betaproteobacteria; Burkholderiales; Alcaligenaceae.
ACAUGCAAGUCGAACGGCAGCGGGAAGAAAGCUUGCUUUCUUUGCCGGCGAGUGGCGAACGGGUGAGUAAUGUAUCGGAACGUGCCCAGUAGCGGGGGAUAACUGGCCGAAAGGUCAGCUAAUACCGCAUACGCCCUACGGGGGAAAGGGGGGGAUUCUUCGGAACCUCUCACUAUUGGAGCGGCCGAUAUCGGAUUAGCUAGUUGGUGGGGUAAUGGCCUACCAAGGCGACGAUCCGUAGCUGGUUUGAGAGGACGACCAGCCACACUGGGACUGAGACACGGCCCAGACUCCUACGGGAGGCAGCAGUGGGGAAUUUUGGACAAUGGGGGAAACCCUGAUCCAGCCAUCCCGCGUGUGCGAUGAAGGCCUUCGGGUUGUAAAGCACUUUUGUCAGGGAAGAAAAGGUUCUGGCUAAUACCCGGAACUGAUGACGGUACCUGAAGAAUAAGCACCGGCUAACUACGUGCCAGCAGCCGCGGUAAUACGUAGGGUGCAAGCGUUAAUCGGAAUUACUGGGCGUAAAGCGUGCGCAGGCGGUUCGGAAAGAAGGAUGUGAAAUCCCAGGGCUCAACCUUGGAACUGCAUUCUUAACUACCGGACUAGAGUAUGUCAGAGGGGGGUAGAAUUCCGCGUGUAGCAGUGAAAUGCGUAGAUAUGCGGAGGAAUACCGAUGGCGAAGGCAGCCCCCUGGGAUAAUACUGACGCUCAUGCACGAAAGCGUGGGUAGCAAACAGGAUUAGAUACCCUGGUAGUCCACGCCCUAAACGAUGUCAACUAGCUGUUGGGCCCUUCGGGGCUUAGUAGCGUAGCUAACGCGUGAAGUUGACCGCCUGGGGAGUACGGUCGCAAGAUUAAAACUCAAAGGAAUUGACGGGGACCCGCACAAGCGGUGGAUGAUGUGGAUUAAUUCGAUGCAACGCGAAAAACCUUACCUACCCUUGACAUGUCUGGAAUCCUUUAGAGAUAGAGGAGUGCUCGCAAGAGAACCGGAACACAGGUGCUGCAUGGCUGUCGUCAGCUCGUGUCGUGAGAU